Lineus longissimus is the source of this 471-nucleotide long non-coding RNA. RefSeq lists it as uncharacterized. Lineage: Eukaryota; Metazoa; Nemertea; Pilidiophora; Heteronemertea; Lineidae. The transcript has 3 exons. The record is from RefSeq and is a predicted model, not a curated record.
CUUGCUUGAGUUUCUGAAGAAUGUUCCAUAUCGCGCUAAGCUCAUCACUACUGAUUAUGACAGGCGUGCAACGGCACACAUCCACAGAGCACUCUUCAAAUCAUCUACACAGUGGUUAUCCAACUAGGAUUAUAAAGCUGUCAUGCAACGCAACAACUGUGCUAUCUGCCAUCGCACAUCAACGAAGAAGUGCAGCCGCCCACAUUCCACCUCACGUCUGUCCGACCAGCUGCAAUCCUCGAGGACGCCCCACUGUACCACGAUUUCACUACGAUGUUUGACAAGAAGGAGCAGUGCGCGAGAUAGGCUAAUGAGCAGACUUCCCUCGCUUGAGUUUCGGAAGAAUGUUCCAUAUCGCGCUAAGCUGACCACUGCUGACCAUGACAGGCGUGCAUUGGACUGGUACAGGUUGGAACUAAACAUUGAAUAUGCUGGUGGUGACGCUUUCUGAUGAGAAGUUGGUCGUGACUG